AAAUAUAAAAAUGAAUUAUAAACAUUCCUCUGUUCAGCAACUUAGCGACUGGCUAGGGUUUACUCCCAUUCUCAACUUUUUCUCAAUCUUCAUCAUUUUUACAGCUUUGUUCCACGAUUUGAUUGAAAGUUGUUCUUGAUUUCUUGGUUCAGUGUCACGAUUUUUAACGGAACAUUUGAAGGAAAAAUAUUAUCAAAUUGGUGAUAACUUCAUUAAUGCUAUCUAUUGCAUUAAGAUGGUGAGUUGUAUCUAUGUUCAGGGACUUUAGUUGGUCAUCUUAGUGGUGACUUCUAUUUGAAAUGAGCAUUACUAAGAGGUUAUGCUAAGACAGGGGCCAUGAACAAGAUUUGGAGAUUUCUGUUUACAAGUCGAGAUGCAAGUUUGAAUAUUUUCAACAAGUUUUGAUAAUCUGGUCAUCAUUUUGCUACUACAAUUUGGCAAAGUAUUUCAUUAAUUAUAUACUUGGAUAUGUUAGUUGUGCAAAGAAUAUCAUGAUCAUAAUUUUAAAAAGAAUUUGACA
Solanum lycopersicum (tomato) is the source of this 520-nucleotide long non-coding RNA. RefSeq lists it as uncharacterized. The record is from RefSeq and is a predicted model, not a curated record. Lineage: Eukaryota; Viridiplantae; Streptophyta; Magnoliopsida; Solanales; Solanaceae.